RNAcentral lists this transfer RNA (60 nucleotides) under Hirudo nipponia. RNAcentral describes it as "tRNA-Thr". Lineage: Eukaryota; Metazoa; Annelida; Clitellata; Hirudinida; Hirudinidae. The record is from RNAcentral.
GCUUAGGAAGCAUAAGGCAGUGAUAUUUGUAAUUCAUUAUUUGGGUCAUCCCUCUAAGCU